UUACUCUUCACAGUUUGUGGCGCGCCAAUUCGGCUUUACACAGGCCGUUCCUGCUCCGGCCAAGUUUUUCACGGCUAAUACUGCCACUUAUCGCCCGCCUACCAAGAGUAUAGCUGACGCCGAUCAGAUUUCGACUAUGGGAAACUGUCUGCGGCGAUUUUUAAAUUGGUCAGCUUCAGGCCGAAUUAUACCGGAGUGUUAGGUUUUCGCUACGCUGUAAAUUGGGACAUCUUCCUCAAGAAAACCUUUGCCUCUGUUAUCUCGCAUGCACAUCGCAAGACUCGUUAUCCUCUCAGUACGUUAUUUCUUUUGAAAUUAAUUUCCUGCUUAUAAUUACUGCUACUUAUUUAUUUUUCAUUUGUAGCCCCUUUCCCAAUUAAGACUCAAUCGGAAGGCCUUGCCGAGCCAUCCAUAUCAGAAGAAAAAUCGGAAGAAGCUGCUGAAUCUCCGCCUCAUUCUUCUGUAAUGUCUUCUAUUCUAUUCCUCCUUUGUUCUUUCUAUUUUGAUGUUUGUAAUACUCACUUUACUUUCAUUGUCAGUCUAUACCCACUCCUUCAUCGGUCUCAACUUCAGAUAAGAGACCGAUUGAAAGUGUACAAGCUACUCCUCCGCCGACUUCGAAACGGCGUAAAUCAGUUGCUAAACGACAAUUUCGACAAGCCGAAGAUGCCUCUUCGGCUGACAUUUU
RNAcentral lists this long non-coding RNA (688 nucleotides) under Ananas comosus (pineapple). Its description in RNAcentral is "long non-coding RNA (ACOM_LNC042880)". The record is from RNAcentral. Lineage: Eukaryota; Viridiplantae; Streptophyta; Magnoliopsida; Poales; Bromeliaceae.